AAGACUAUACUUUCAGGGAUCAUUUCUAUAGUUCAUUGCUAGAGAAGUUUCUCUGAAUGUGUAGAAUACUGUGCAAAAUUUUUCGAGAAAAU
Small nucleolar RNA from Equus asinus (donkey), 92 nucleotides. Its record names the gene U3. It matches the Rfam family "Small nucleolar RNA U3". From Rfam's summary of the family: Small nucleolar RNAs (snoRNAs) are involved in the processing and modification of rRNA in the nucleolus. There are two main classes of snoRNAs: the box C/D class, and the box H/ACA class. NCBI's taxonomy places the organism in Eukaryota, Metazoa, Chordata, Mammalia, Perissodactyla, Equidae. The record is from Ensembl.